RNAcentral lists this transfer RNA (60 nucleotides) under Hyalella tiwanaku. RNAcentral describes it as "tRNA-Thr". The record is from RNAcentral. Lineage: Eukaryota; Metazoa; Arthropoda; Malacostraca; Amphipoda; Hyalellidae.
ACUUUUGUAGUUUAAAUAAAAUGAUAGUCUUGUAAACUAUAGUUGAUAUGUCUAAAAGUG